ACAAUGGGUGACCAUACAUUGUUUGGCCUACCCGACCUUCUCUGUAAAUAACUUUAUUGUGUAAAAACAAACUGUAAUUUACAACGUUUCUUGUAUAUUAUCUGUGAAAAUAGCUUCUUACACGGAGUAGCAAUUCAGAUUGCUGUCCAAAGAACUUCAGCCAAGAUGAAGUAUUUGCUGAUAUAUAGGCAAUAUAAAUAACGCCGUUAUGUACACCCAGCAAAAUCUUGACGUUCACUUUAGCCACUGACAUAUUUGUCAAUGAGCGGCUAUAAUGCAAUACAUAACCUUAUCGUAUCGAUAUAGCGGGCUGUAGUUUGUCAGGAAAUAAGUGUAUAUUUUGGUACUAGCGCCCAAAUCGUUUCUUCGAAUAAUUAGUGGAAUUAUUUGUCAAUGCCAACGAACAGAUGAAUAGCUACAAAUAGUGAAAUUUCGAGUAGAUGAGGACUACCCCACUAAAAUUGUGUUAGUGCACGUUCAGGUUCUCGGGCUUUUCGAAGCAGUUUCAAUGCCGUACGUUGUGAAGUGUUUACUCUGCGAGAAUGACGCUAACAACGUCAAGGAUGGCACUCAGUUUUUCAGGGUGCCCGUCGAUGUAGACGUCCGAGAACGUUGGCAAAACGCUCUGCAGUGCAAAAAAUUUUCUAGCAGAAAUUUCAUAUGCUCAAAACAUUUCAAUCCCGAUGAUUUGCAAUGUGUUAGCGGCCAAAUAUUUCUCGGAAAGCAUGCACUUCCUAUACACCCGGAUAAAAAGGAAUCCCAUCUGCAGUCAGAUUUGAUCACGAUGCCAAUGAUAAAUUUGCAAAUCGAUAGAAAUUCAAGCGACGAAGAAUCGACGGCCGAAAGUGUAGUAUCGCCAAUGCGAACGGAACGCUUUGUAGCCCCGGAAGAGCCACUAAAGUAUAUUAGUAGAAUUCCAAUUUUUCAUCUACAAACUGUACAGUGUGGAGAGUAUGGAAAACCAAUACAAGCACCACUUAAGGAUACCAUAUCCCAGGGAACUCAAACUUCAAUAGAUGAUGUUGCAUCGGUUGCUCCAAAAUCGAUUGGAACCCAAAUUCCUGAUAGCGAAGAUAUGGAGUACUUCAAUCCCGAAGAAACGCUUAUCCAACAGAGUAACGAAGCAAAUGAAUUAGCAAAAGCAAAUUCAACCAUUCAGGACCUGAACGAGCUGCUAAAGGAGAAAAAUGCUUCAAUACAUUCCUUGCAAAAUAAAAUACUACACCAGACGCGAAAAAUAAACCACCUGAUCAAAAUCAUAGGCAAUCUAAGAAGAGCAGGCUUCAGAUACAAUGUUGCUCCACUUCAUGGCAAUAACUAUUCUCCAAGCAAUGGACUUAAAAGUGCUGCCGGGGAAAUAAAAAUACAAACAAUUCAGGCUGUUCCUCCUGAAGUGGAAUCUACUAAAACCAACCACCCAGUAGUAAGUAAAGCUACGGUUGUGGCACAAACGGCACAUGGUCCGGCACUACCAAGGAUUUAGACAAGAUCGAAGUCUAUAUCUCAUUCCAAACAGGCGGAAAGAAGUAAAAGAUGACAUUUAUUGAAAAGAUGUUACAUAGUUCUUCCAAAUAUCAGACAAAGGAAAAUGAAACGUAUUAAAUACGACUAAUGGCAAUAAUUUAAUUGACUCAAAGCAACAGUGAAGAUGCUACCAAUAUGAUAUAAAAUUGAAUUGAAUUGGAGAUGUGAUUGCAUGUUCAACAAUGAAUUUACUAAAAGUCUAAAAUUAGAGAUAGGAAUAAUGUCUUGAUCAAGGGUAUGGUGAUUUCUCUUUUCUGUUUUUAACUUAUUCGAAUUUUUUAUUCAUUUGUAUAAUUUUGCCCACACCCUUAAGGGAGUGAAAUAAUCGAUCAAAAAUGUGCUAUAUUUAUUAACAUGAAAGGUGUCCGGGAGCAAAUCAGGAUCUCAGAAUUAUAUAAUAAAAAAAUUCCGAAGUAUAUUAAUUUAAUAAAACCAGUUUUUUAAAUGAAAAGAAUUUUGAUUUUACCAUUA
Molecule: unclassified non-coding RNA, 1995 nt
Filed under: Hermetia illucens (black soldier fly)
Lineage: Eukaryota; Metazoa; Arthropoda; Insecta; Diptera; Stratiomyidae
Description: uncharacterized LOC119660531, transcript variant X3
Source: RNAcentral